AAAUUAUGGGAACUCUGUAUUGUAUUCAUCAUCGUACGAUUACAAGUACAUGAAUGUUACAUGCUCCCAUUGGAGUUUGCCUAUUUUGCCUUCUGCGACUAUGCUUAAGGAGUAUCUGACUUGGAAGAUUGCGUGUAGUCCGCUGAUUCCCGGUGCUUUUGCAAAGCGUCCGGUUAAUUACAUCUAUAGGUCAAGCUUACAGAAAACCUCCGAUUAAGCUGCGCGCGGUCGUCGUCGUGAAAUUCGCUCAUCCAUGAAGCAUGUGUGAUGUUUGGAGAAAAGAUGUAGAUGGUGGUGAUACGUAGGUGUGGGUGGCUUUGUUUUGCCUGAACCCAGUCACGAUACGCCAUCGCCAUGUCGGUAUUUAGAACGGAAUUUGUUGAUGAAGAUGGUGACCUUUGCUUGUCGGUGCCCAGUCAUGUACCCAAGAAUUCAUCGAACAUGGACAUGUGUAUGUUGCUUUUGCCUCGUCGGUGCCCAGCAACGAAGUGUCCGAUCCCAUUUGGGAUUGUGACAUGUUAAUGAAAUAUAGUGAUCUGGCCGUGUUGGCACUUGGACAUGAUUUCGUCUAGCCUUGUUGGCACUAGACAUGAGAUGGGUAUGAUGGAUUUGACCAUAACCUCAUGGAGAUUAGGCCAUAGAUUUGAGAUAGAUCAUUGAUAGAGCAUGCCUUUUCUCCUUUAUUUUAAGAAUCAGGGGUUGCACACCGCCGAUAUAGAUGAAGCAAUCGACGAUGUAUUUUUGUGUGGAUUUUCAUCUACUCCGCAUGGGCGACGUUGAUGAAGCGAUCGUGCCAUGGUCGUAGGUUUUGACAUGGGCGACGUUGGUGAGGCGGUCGUGCCAUGGUUGUAUAUUUUUACAUGGGCGACUUUGAUGAGGCGGUCGUGCCAUGGAUGUAAAUCUCCGCAUGGGCGACGUUGAUGAGGCGGUCGUGCCAUGGUUGUAUAUUUUUACNNNNNNNNNNNNNNNNNNNNNNNNNNNNNNNNNNNNNNNNNNNNNNNNNNNNNNNNNNNNNNNNNNNNNNNNNNNNNNNNNNNNNNNNNNNNNNNNNNNNNNNNNNNNNNNNNNNNNNNNNNNNNNNNNNNNNNNNNNNNNNNNNNNNNNNNNNNNNNNNNNNNNNNNNNNNNNNNNNNNNNUUUGAUGAGGCGGUCGUGCCAUGGAUGUAAAUUUCUGCAUGGGCGACGUUGAUGAGGCGGUCGUGCCAUGAUUGUAUAGUUUACAUGGGCGACUUUGAUGAGGCGGUCGUGCCAUGGUUGUAUAUUUUUACAUGGUCGACUUUGAUGAGGCGGUCGUGCCAUGAUAAAGAUUUAUGGAAUAGCCAAGUAGACAUCAUUCUUCUUCCAUCACACAAAGCUCAUUGAUGUGAUCAGAUCUUAUAACUUACCAUCAAGGCCCACGGUUGUUGCAAAGAUCAACAUGUUGAUGAAGCUUCGGCGUCGUCCGCGGUCGACGAAACUUUUACGGUGAAGAUUGAGAAGGGGAAAAAAGGCGUGGAGUUGGCGGCGUGCUUGAGGGCGAGAGCUUUGGCUGGUGUGCGUGGAGCCUGUCGGCGUGGAUGUGUUUUAUACGUGCGUCCUCCUCCCCAACGAGGGCUGGCCUCUCGCUUUAUAUAGGCGCUGGCCGAGGCUUCGAUCCUAUCGGUUCACCAAUCGCGUGGCCGUUUAAACUUCCUCCAGCUUUAUCCCAAGCUAGCUUGGCGUAUACGUAUAUGACUCCUCCGUAGGAAUCGGAUCGAACUGCUUUGGCUCCUUUACGGUUUGGGACAUAAGAUUAUGUGUACAUGCUUUCCUUCAAUAGAAUAUGUUAUUUGCAUGGCACGGGCUCACGUGAGCAACCAUUAGGUGUAAUUACUAGAAUUUGACGUGGUCCAUGUCAAUUACAAAAUACGCGCUAGCUUUGUACAUGCAAACAACCCUCUUCUCAUGAUUCUUUUUCUUAAACCAAAGUGCAAACCAUCAAACUAUUUGCACCAUUGUAAUCUACAUGAUGAACUCUACAAAUGGAGUAUAAUAUUUAAUAUAUUCCAUUUUUUUGAAUUUAUUGGCGCGUGGGACCCACACGUCAUGGGGUAGCACUUUCAUAAAUCAAAGUUAUAUAUUUUUUCACGUAUGCGCUCAUAUUUAUUUGUAGGCCGGUCCAUCCUAGCUCAUACAAAAAAAAACUAGGCUUAGGGCAUACAAAAAUCCGUCAAACAAAUGAUUUUGUUUCGCCAAAAAGAAACGCGCCGCUCCCUUUCUAAGGGAGGGUAUUUCCUAAUGCGUACAAGAAGUAAAAUCGCGGGUGUGCCACUUGUUUUAUGAAAACAAGAAAUAAAUAGACAGAAAAAUAAGGGACAAAUACAUAUACGGAACAUUGCACUUUAUUGAUCAUUGUAUUGAAUACAAAUACAUUGUACAAGCUCCAUAGGAAUUAUCCUUCUGCCUUCUGCGUCGCGCUGAAGGAGUAUCUGACUGAAGAGAUUGUGUAGUUCGCCGAUUCCCGAUGCGUUUGCAAGCAACCGGUUAAUUACAUCCAUGGGGUCGAUCCCACGGAAUACCUCCGAUUAAGCUGCGCUGAUGGUCGUCGUCAUGUGUUGCUCAUCCAUAUGCAUGUGAUAUUUUAUGUGGAUAUUUGUGCGGGUGGCUUUGUUUCGCCGAAACCCAGUCACGAGUACUAUCGCCAUGUUGAUGUGACCAACAGGAUGUGUCGAUGAAGGGGAUGACUUUCGCCUCGUCGGUACCCAGUCAUGUGAUGCCCUGACUUCAUCGAACGCGGACAUGUGUAUGUUGCUAUCGCCUCGUCGGUACCCAGCGACGGUGUGUCCAAUCCGGUAGGUUUGUGACAUGUUGGUGACCCGGCCUCGUCGGCACUUGGCCAGAAUUUCAUCCAGCCUCGUCAGCCCUAGACGUAUGAUGGAGAUAAUGGUGUGCAUAGCCUUUUGUCUCGUCAACACUCGGCCAAGAUGUCGAUGUGGAAUAUAUCACAGAUGCAUUUGAUGAUGCUUGCCAAUAAAACGAAAUCGAUCUCACUUCCCCGCAAGAGCGAAAUCAAUGUGGAACUGUAUGGACGUCGCCUCCUCGUGAGGGGCGAAAAAGAGUAAUACUUUAUUUAUCUCGUUCUCUUGCGAGAGACAAACCAACGUAUAAUUUGUAACCUCGCCUCCUCACAAGGGGGAAAUUGAUAUAAUAUUUUAUUAAUCUCGUCACAUUAUGAUAGGACAAAAUUAAUGUGUAUGUAUUUGACUCCCUCGUACUUGGCCAUAGCCACGUACGCUCAGUCACAGUUUGCAUGAAGCAAUGGUUUUAGACUCGCUUUGAUGGAGGAUUUGAUGCUCACUGGUACAGUUCUGGGUGCUACCAUGUUCACCGGAUCGAUUUACCGUAGUAUAUGUCUUCAGAAAAGAGGAUCAAGAAGACGAAGAUUUGGAAAGAUUUCUUAGAUCAAGAUGACAAGGUUUGAUGGGAUUGCUUACCAACGAAGGAGAUGAGCGUGGUUUGGUUCACCAUGUUGUCCACGAGAAAUCACUAUAGUGUUUCUUUCUUGGUUUAUUAGAUGACGUCUCUUGCGGCGCCGUCUUUUGAAGAGAUUGGCACAAGAUCAAUAUGUAUGGGGUGUACCUCGGCAUCUACGCGGUAGUACGGCGUCACUGUUUUAUUUAGCGAAUCAGCAUACUCCCAGCGUGAGCUUAGGUGAGAUAUAUGUGAGAGACUUGACGAGAUCUUCGGCGUGUUCUUGCUUCUCGCGUGCUCCCGUGCAACUUCUUUGUGUACCAUAGCAUCUACGCGGUAUUACGGCGUCGCUGUCUUGUUUAGCGAAUCGGCGUAGUCCCGGCAUGAGCUUAGGCGAGACAUGUGUGAGAAACUUGAUAGAUUGGUGGAAGAUCGAUGUGGUGUACCUCGACAUCUACGCGGUAUUACGGCGUCGUUGUCUUGUUUAACGAAUCGGUGUAAUUCCAGCGUGUGCUCAGGUGGAAUUUGGAUGAGACUUAGACAAGAAACUCGGCUUGUUCUUGCUUCUCAGCCGGCUCCCGUGAAAGUUCUCGAUGUGUGGGACGACCAGCCUGGGCUUCUUGUUUCCUCGUGCCCUUCUCGCGGCUGGCCUCCCUUUUUUAGAGGAUAGGUGGAAAGUUGAUCUUGUAUAUGGAGGGUACCUCGGCAUCUAGAUGGUAUUACGGCGUCGCUGUUUUGUUUAGCGAAUCGGCGUACUCCGAGCGAGUGCUUAGCUGAGAUUAAAUGAGAAACUUGACAAUAGUAUUGGCUUUCCUAUGGACACAAUGUGAUCUUGGAUCACUAAAGUAAAAUGUAGAGUCUCGAGCUUUUAAAGCUUGAGCCAAUCCUUUGUCCUUAGCAUUUUGAGGGGUCCACAUUCCUAAUCCAUGCCAUGCCAAUCAUUAAACUUUCCUGAAAUAUUCAUCUUGAAAUAGCAUUAGUUAAAUGAGCUAUAUGUUGUUAAUCAUUACCAAAACCACCAAGGGAUAGUUGCACUUUCACUAUAAAACUUGGAAAUCCAGGAAUACCUACCAUACCUUGCUCCAUAAAAAGAAAUUAUGUUAAAACUGCUUUGUGUGAUUUAGGAGCUGGUGUUAGUGUGAUGCGUUUCUCUUUAUAUAAAAGACUUGAUUUGAAUAAACUCACACCUACUGAAAUAUCUUUGCAAAUGGCUGACAAAUGAACUGCCAUACCUAUAGGUAUUUGUGAGGAUGUGCCGGUUGUUGUUGCUAAUGUUACUAUCUUAACUGACUUUGUUAUACUUGAGAUCCCCGAGGAUGACAACAUGUCAAUUAUCCUUGGUAGACCCUUCCUGAACAUUGCAGGGGCUGUUAUUGAUUGCAAUAGGAGCAAGAUCACUUUUCAUAUCAAUGGUAAUGAGCAUACAGUUCAUUUUCCAAAGAAACAAUUCCAAGUGAAUGCUAUAAAUGUUAUUGAAAAAUCUCUGUCACUCAUUAUUGGAAGUUUUCAUCUACCUCUACCUAUUUCCAAAAAGAAAUAUGAAAUAUUUAUUGUUGGGGACAUUCAUAUCCCCGUUGAGGUAACUUAGUGUUUUACGAAAGUUCUUCGGUUUCAUGCUAAUCGAAGGUGGUUGUUAAUAAGACUUGAUCAACCUUACUAAUGGAUCAUUUUUUGAGAGAGAAUGAAGUUAAUGAAUUUAGUGAGCACAAUUUUUUUUCCUAAGUUUUAUUUUCUGUUUUUCUUAGUUAAAUAAAAUAAAAUGACAUGCUUUGUCUGUUUUCUGUUUUACACGUGCAAUAAAAAAUGACCCAAAAUUAAAAGUGCUCAGAAUGUCGUGAAAAUUUAAUACGAUUUUCUUCUGAAUAUUUUUGAAUUUCUAGUGCAAAUAAUAUCAGAGGGGGUGCACCAGGUGGGCACAACCUACCUGGGCAUGCCAGCAACCCCAGACAUGCCCUGGUGGGUUGUGGUCCCCAUGUGGUCCGCCUCACUUAUCUAUUCAGCCCACUACUUGUCCUACCUCUAGAAAAAAAAUCACCAUUGCUCUCUCUCUUUCUCUCUCUCUCAUGUUCUUGCUCUCAAACCCACGAAUUUCAAUCUCUUUGCUCGAUGCUUCAUUUCCGAAACUAUUUCGGGGGAUUGUUGCUUGGUAUGUGACUCCUCCGUUCCUCCAAUUAGUUUUUGCUUUAGUGGUUUAUACUUUGAAUAAUUAGCUACUCAUGUGCUGAUGUAGAUGAGCGUACAAGUUGAAUUCUUAGAGUUCUAUGUAGUUUGAAUGCUCAAAAUGGUCUCUAUGCAUGCUCUUGAGUAGUUGGUAUUAAUCUUGUUAAGUUUUGUAGACAAAAAAUUUGUGAACUAAAAUUUUCAGAAUUUUAUUUAUAGGAAUAAGAUGAGUUUCUUUAGGAAGUUUGCCUCCAAGAAAAAUGCCAAGGGAGUCAUUGGGGAACCAUCGGAUAGUGAUCUCCACACUCCAAGAAGGCCAGAAGUACGACCGUACAAAUGGCCGCAUUAUCCCUUCAUGGAGGGGGCCGGAAUCCAUCGAGAAUUAGCACAAAUUUGCUGCAAAUGCUGGGUUAACCAACUUCAUCGGAGCUGAGUGUGAACAAUACCAUAUCCUUACAAAUUCCUCUGUGCAAAGUUUUCACUUUCUGAGAAGGAACUAUCCUCCAGAAGUGCGGUUUAAUUUAUAUGUUGAACCUCAACAAAUACCUCUUACCGACUUUUGUGACAUAUGAUUUAUGCCUUCUGACGGUGAUAUAAGAGAGCCUAAACCUGCAGAGUUCGAUGACUUUUAUCGUACUCUAUCAGUGGGAGAUGAGAGUGGGGUGUCGAGUGUUACCUCCACUAGCUUGCAGUUUCCUUCUAUGUAUUAUUUUGCUCUAUUCAUUGCAAAGUGUUUUCUUGCUAGAGAGAGGGUUGGUGCACUUAGUACCCCUAAUUUUGCUGUCUUACGCCGCACAAUAUACGACGAUAACACCUUUAGCCCUGGGGCCAUCAUCGCACGUCGCUUGCACCUUAACAGAUCCAAGGGUAAAAUUCAUGGCGGUAUUUAUGCUACUCGCUUAGCGAGACACUUUAAUGUUCAGAUCUGCGAACAUGAUUUUCUUUUGCCCAAGGUUCAUCUAGACCAUCAGUCUAUGGCAGAUCACCAGUUUACAGAUUUUGAUAACACUAUUCAUAAUAUUUCAUAUAACCUGGUUUUCAAUGUGGAUACCCGUGAUAUUAUUCCAUUGCCUGCACCUGCUUUGUUUGAUUUUAUUGCCAGGGGCGGACACAGGAUUAUGCCAGAUGACAUCAUUGCCUACUAGAACACUCAGGCAGCUGUAGAGGAGAAGCCUCAGGAUUUGGACGCUCAGGUGUCGCCUCCACAGAACUUUGACUUGGGAUAAGAUAGCUUCUUCGGAUGGUGAUUACCAAGCUAGACCAAAAGCCUAAGCUUGGGGGAGUACAUAUUUCCACCGACAUUACAUUCAUGUUCACACAUUUCAUUCUAGUUGUCGGUGUUCACACUUUUUCAUUGUAAUAUCCAUGCUAGUUUUAUUUUCUAGCUUUCUUCUUGUGUGUUCCAAAAACUUUGAGAAAAAUCCAAAAUUAUGUCUUGCUUCUUUUCGGGUUUUUCCUUUCUAGCUUAAUUAAUUGUAGUAUUAAAAAGAAAACUCAAAAAGAUUUCCUAGUUCUUCUUUUGCUUGUUGGGAGCUUUCCCGUGUAAAUAGUUUUUCUCAUUUUUGUUCUUCUUUCUGUAGUUUUCUUUCUUCAAGAAAAACUAAAAACUCCAAAAAUAUUUCAGUGUGUUUCUUUGAAUUUCUUUUUGUUUGUUGAGUUGUACCAAGGAGAAGACCACGAUGAAAAUGUUGAGUGGCUCUCAUAUGAAUAAUUAUUGAUCUAAUAAAGACCUCAAAUUACCUUGUCUCCUCCUUUCAAAUAAAAUGUGUUUGCAGAUUACAGCUUGGUCCAUGGCACUCUUGCACUAUUAUUAUUUUCAUAUCAUUCGGUCGUGCAAGUGAAAGGCAAUAAUGACGAUAUUUGAUGAACUGGCUGUGGCAGAGAGAAAUGGGUAUGAGCUCAACUUGUUCUAUUUUUGUAAAUAUGUUUAACCAAGUAUCCAUGAUUCAACUUAUUAUGAUCAAACAUGUUUGCAAUGACAAUUAGAGAUUAUAGUUUCUCAUGCCAUGCUUAGGUAGCUAGGAGUGGAUAAUGAUUUAUCUUGGGUGUCAACAUGCAUUAAAAUGAUUGUGAUGUAGUAUGAUGAUAUGGUAUCCUCCUCCGAAUAUUUCAAGUGGCUUGACUUGGCACAUGUUCAUGCAUGUAGUUGAAUCAAAACCAACAUAGCCUCUAUGAUAUUUAUGUUCAUGGUGUUCGUAUCCUACUCAUGCUAGUGUUUAAUGUUACUUAUGCAUAAUGCAUGUUCAUGACCGUUUUCGCUCUCUAGCUGGCUGCUUCUCAACCUAUUUGCUAGCCUUCGCAUGUACUAAGUGGGAAUACUACUUGUGCAUCAAAAUCCUAAAACCCAAGUUAUUCUAGAUGAGUCCACCAUAUCUACCUAUAUGUGGUAUUACCCUGCCGUUCCAAGUAAAUUUGCAUGUGCCACCUCUAAAAACUUCAAAUAAAUAUAUGUUUUUGUGUGCCUGGAUUGUUCAUAGAGUGACAUGAGGUAGUUGAUAUCUUCCAUGCUAAGCGGUUUAUUCUCAUGAUGAGUGUUCAAUCACUCGUCCUUGCACAAGAGGGGCGGUAAAAGGGAUUCCUAGUCCCACAAUAAAAUAAAAUUGCAAAUAAUUAAACAAAACUCCCCCAGGAUUGAUGUUGGUAUGGACGUUACCCGUGGAUUUGGCUCACCGUGGAGUGUGAUUGUUUGUGAAGGGGGAGUAAACCUUUACUUUAUCGCUUAGGAACUGCCACUAAUGUGUUUAGCAUGGAAGAUAUCGAUAACUAAUGGUCACGAAGUAAACAAGAAGGGUGCAUUUCUCAAAAUUUUAUUUACCUUUGUUUAAAAAAAUGAGCUCUAGCACCACUGCAAAUCACUGCUUCCCUGUGCGAAGGGACUAUCUAUUUAAUUUUACGUUGUGUCAUCACCUUCUCAAAUAAGCUCCAGAUCUGAGAGCACUAUUGUCAUCCUCACGCAUUGUGUGUAGCUAAUGUUGGAUGCAUCAUGACUGGAUCUUUUCUACCAUGAAUUACAAUGUUUAGUUGCUGCUUGAACUUUGGAGGUGCUCUGCAUUUAUGUUUUGUGGUCUCAGAAAGGGCUAGCGAGAUACCACUGUUCUCAUAUUAUAUCAUGGUUGUUUUGACAAAGUGUUGUCGUUUGAGAUGCUUUAUUAUUGCUCGCUAGUUUCUUAGGCCAUUGAUAUGAGUUAACAUAAUUUUUAAGAGUUAUUGUUGACAUGGUUAGUCAUAAUCUUUGAUGAAAACCUGGGUGCUAGUUAAACUUAUUUAUGUAAACAAGAGCAAAAAAGUUCGUAAAAGUUUUGCUUUCUCACUUUCAGUUUAUCAACGGAAUUGCUUGAGGUCAAGCAAAGGUUUAAGCUUGGGGGAGUUGAUACGCCUCCAACGUAUCUACUUUUCCUAACGCUUUUUCUCUUGUUUUGGACUCUAACUUGCAUGAUUUGAAUGAAACUAACCCGGACUGACGUUGUUUUCAGCAGAACUACCAUGGUGUUGAUUUUGUGCAGAAAUAAAAGUUCGCAGAAUGGAACGAUUUUUUUGGAAAUUUUUUAUAAAAUAAAAGAAAAAUAUGGGAGCCAAGAACCAUCGGAGGGGGUCACCUGGGUGGGCACAACCCACCAGGGUGCGCCCCCACCCUCAGGCGCACCCAGGUGGGUUGUCCCCACCUGGUGGCCCCAGUUGACCUAUCUCCAAUGUUAUAAGUUCAUUUUUGGGGAGAUAAAAAUUAGGGAGGAAGAAUUAUCACAUUUCAUGAGACGGAGCCGCCACCACCUCCUGUUCUUCAUCGGGAGUCCAGAUCUGGAGUCCGUUUGGGGCUCCGGAGAGGGGAAUCUUCGAUCUUCGUCAUCACCAACCCUCCUUCAUCGCCAAUUCCAUGAUGCUCCCCACCAAGAGAGAGUAAUUCCUUCAUAGGCUCGCUGGACGGUGAGGAGUUGGAUGAGAUUCAUCAUGUAAUCGAGUUAGUUUUGUUAGGGUUUUAUCCCUACUAUCCACAAUGUUCUAAGAUUGAUGUUGCUAUGACUUUGCCAUGCUUAAUGCUUGUCACUUUGGGCCCGGGUGCCAUGAUUUCAGAUCUGAACCAUUUAUGUUAUCACCAUUAUAUCUAUAUUCUAGAUCUGAUCUUGCAAGUUACAGUCACCUAUUAUAUGUUAUGAUCCUUAAACCCCGGAGUGAUAGUAUUCAGGAUACUUUCCGGUGAUGACCGUAGUUUGAGGAGUUCAUGUAUUCACUAUGUGUUAAUGCUUUGUUCUGGUUCUCUAUUCAAUGAGGCCUUAAUAUCCCUUAGUUUCCUUAUGGACCCCGCUGGCACUGGAGGGUAGGACAUAAGAUGUCAUGCAAGUUCUUUCCAUAAGCACGUAUGACUAUUUACGGAAUACAUGCCUACAUUUCAUUGAUGAACUGGAGCUAGUUUUGUAUAUGAUGAAUAUGAUCCAACGUAUGACUGGUAUAUGAUGAAUAUUAUCCAACGAAUCCACCGAUCCAAUGCCUACGAAUUUCCAAUAUAUUGUUCUUGCUAAGUUACUACUGUUGCUGCUACUGUUACAACUGCUACAAAAUUACUGCUAUCACUAUUACUGUUACUGCUACUAUUAUCACUACUAUCAAACCUAUCAUAUUACUGUGCUACUGAUCCUAUUGCUGCAGAUAUUUAAUCUCAAGUUGUGGUUGAAUUGACAACUCACACUACUACAGGAUGCUGCUAACGCGACACUACAAUCAGAGACCCUUUCGACGAAACUGUGUGCGAUGCAAUAAUCGCAAACGGUGGUGUAAAAUAUCCUUCAAAAAACGUGCAAAACAUUUGCGAUGGCGGGCAGAUCAAACACAGUUCAGUUUUUAGUUGCGUAUGCGAUGCUCGGCAUGCGGUUGAUCCAUAUGAAAAUGUUUGUGAUUAGACAGAACAACAAAAAUGGGCAGCCAUAUCAAUGUGUGUGCGAUAUACAGCAUACAGUUCGCUCGGACGAACUGUUUGCGAUGACCGAGGUGAACACAAACGAUUCAGUGUAACAAGAUGUGUGUGAUACCCGGCAAACAGGUCGGUAAUCAGAAUUGUGUGCGAUCAUUAUGGACAGCCCAUACGGACUUUUUUGUGAAUUGUGUGCUCGUCAGGGCACACAGUUCAACAAACCAACAUGUGGGCGAUAAUGUAGAAGAUCUCUGUCGAAUAUGUAUUACUAACCAUCUGCGAUGAGAUUGACACGAUAAACAGAGAUAACAAAUUAAUAUGAGCAAACGGAAACAGAGAUUUGUACAGUCUGCUUAAUUUAGUCCUUCUUCUUCUUCUUCUUCUUGUUGGAUGGCCCGCGACAUCGUCUUGGUGAGGACACUUCUUGCCGCUGAUGGUUGGCUUUUCAUCGUCACAGCCGUCGUCAUCGUCGUUGCUGUCGUCGUCGUCCUCCUCCUUGUUCGACCAUUCCUCCUCCUCAUCAUCGUCGUCCUCUUCUCCGUCCUCCGAUGGCUCCACGUCUAUCUGGUUGUCGUCUGACGCCUCCGGAGGCGGCAUCCCUUCCAUGAUCCGGAUGUAAUCGAGAUCUAGGCUUGAUGCCGGACGAAUGGGAGACGAGCGGGAUGAUUCCGAUGUUGACAUAUCAUCGAGCGCUAGACUGCUGGCCGAACUGUCGUCCUCGCUGUCGAUUAACAUGGCUGCAGAGUGUGUGCCAGUGUGUAGCGCGGCGUGCUGGGGACGAUGAAGAUGGUGGACACUUAAGCGGGGUAUGCAGAGAAGAGGAAAUGCCAAUUUAAGCGGGGGUUGAUGUAUUAUCUAACCGCUGAUAUAAUCAACCGCAAUUAUUUUUACCAAGUCGCUCCAAAUUCCCGGGGUUGUGCAAGACUCCUAUUGGCUGGUUUAUUUUUUCAGGAAAAAAAGACGGAAGUUUUGGGAUUAUGCACUGGUACCGGUACGAACGGAGUAGGAUAGUUGGCAAGCAAUACAGUGAGCUCUUCUUAUUGAUAAAGCCAGUAAUAAUCAAACUACAAAGGAAAAGAAAAAAAGACAAAGGAAAAUAUCUGCACGAAUCUUCACGUAACAUCAAUGGCAUAGGACCUAGAUGUGCAUUACUUCACUACAAAAAAAAGACACAUCCGUGACAUUUUGGGCCGAACAAAUUUUUUUUCUGUCAUACAUAUGACACUUCUAUGACGAUAAUUGUGACAAAACCCGGUAUCAUCAUAGAUGUGGUGGGCUCCUACUUCUAUGACAAAAAAUCAUGACAGAAAAUGGGCUUUUCGUCCGGGGCGGGCCGGAGACGCAGCUGCAUGACAUUCUUUGGGUCGUCCAUGACGGAAAAAACCAUGGUAGAAGCGAGGGGGACGAAAAUUUCGGGGAGUUGCCGGUUACGGUGGGAGGUCGGGGGCCGAGCGAUGCACGUUUCUCUCGUACGUACGCGCGUGUGUGUGCGAGGCGUUGGCUCUAACUGAAGCCGAGCGAGGCGUUGGGCUCUAACUGAACCCGAGCGAUUGCACUGCACGCUACACAUUACUGAACCCGAGCGAUCGAUCGAUGGCUGUUAACAGAACCCGAUGGAGCGAUUUCUUUGCUACUGCUGCUAACUGAAGCCGAUCGAUUGGAUGAACAGUGAGUGUUGCGGGGGGGGGGUUGGAUGAAUAGUGAGCGGUGGCGUUGCCUCUGGAUGAACAGGAACCCGUGGUGUGGAGGGCUGGAUGAACAGUAGACGGUGGAGGGGUGGUUGAACAGGACCCCGUGGUGUGGAGGGCUGGAUGAACAGUAGACGGUGGAGGGGUGCCCGUGGAGGGGUGGUUGAACAGUAGCCAGUGGAGUAGCGCGCGAUNNNNNNNNNNNNNNNNNNNNNNNNNNNNNNNNNNNNNNNNNNNNNNNNNNNNNNNNNNNNNNNNNNNNNNNNNNNNNNNNNNNNNNNNNNNNNNNNNNNNNNNNNNNNNNNNNNNNNNNNNNNNNNNNNNNNNNNNNNNNNNNNNNNNNNNNNNNNNNNNNNNNNNNNNNNNNNNNNNNNNNNNNNNNNNNNNNNNNNNNNNNNNNNNNNNNNNNNNNNNNNNNNNNNNNNNNNNNNNNNNNNNNNNNNNNNNNNNNNNNNNNNNNNNNNNNNNNNNNNNNNNNNNNNNNNNNNNNNNNNNNNNNNNNNNUUCAUCCGUUUUGCGGUACGCCACACCCCUCCCGAUCAACAGGACCCCCGUUUCGACCGUAGGAGGUCCGUUUCCUCCGUUUUGCGGUACGCCACACCCCCCCGAUAAACAGGACCCCCGUCUCGACCGUAGGAGGUCCGUUUCCUCCGUUUUGCGGUAUGCGCGACUAGGCAUUCGAGACCCCGCUCGUAUGUAUGCAUACGUGACCGUAUUUUCUUUCUUGCACCCUGGCCGAUGUACGUACGUGUACAUGCUACAUGCGCGCCUCUACUACGACACGUGCGCGCCUCUACUACGACACGUGCGCGCCUCUACAUUGACCAGUAUGUACGUACAUGUUCGCGACCAGGAUGACAAUGCUACGUACGCUUCGACCAGGUGGGUCCCGAAUUUCAGGCACUUCCUUGCUUGCGAAGAUGUAGCUGGUGGGUCCCAGCAGUCAGGGGUGCGAAUCGUUUUUUUUGCCCGGACGCACUUCCUUGCGUGCGAAGGUGUAGCUGCUGGUUCUCAGCAGUCAGGGGGGCGAAUCAUUUUUUUGCCCGGACGCACUUCCUUGCAUGCGAAGGUGUAGCUGCUGGGUCCCAGUAGUCAGGGGGGCGAAUUGUUUUUNNNNNNNNNNNNNNNNNNNNNNNNNNNNNNNNNNNNNNNNNNNNNNNNNNNNNNNNNNNNNNNNNNNNNNNNNNNNNNNNNNNNNNNNNNNNNNNNNNNNNNNNNNNNNNNNNNNNNNNNNNNNNNNNNNNNNNNNNNNNNNNNNNNNNNNNNNNNNNNNNNNNNNNNNNNNNNNNNNNNNNNNNNNGCCCGGACGCACUUCCUUGCGUACGAAGGUGUAGCUGGUGGGUCCCAGCAGUCGGGGGGCGAAUCUUUUUUUUCGGACGCACUUCAUUGCGUGCGAAGAUGUAGCUGGUGGGUCCCAGCAGUCAGGGGGAGAAUCGUUUUUUUUCGGACGCACUUCCUUGCGUGCGAAGAUGUAGCUCGUGGGUCCCAGCAGUCAGGGGGCGAAUCAUUGUUUUUGCGAAAUACGGUGGCCCAUCCGGUGGGUCCCCGCUGUCAGGUGGAGGAAUAAUUAUUUUGCGCGUAAUAAGGAGGCACUUCCUUGCGGCUGCCGUGGACCCAGCUGUCAGCCUCUCCACGUACAGUCCACGUUCGAUGGAAGUCGUUCCUUGACCAUGUUGACCACGCCAUGCAGAGAGCACCACGGCGGUGGACGACGGCGAGGCCUAGGAAGGGGACGACGCGGAGCCGGGGAAGACACGGUAGUGGAUGCACACGCGGAGAGGAGUAUGAGGGUUCACUGGUUCGGCUGUGCUGCCGUCGCUGCAGAAUAACAUGGGGUGUGGGUCAGUGGGUGAGUGGAGGGAUGGCCUGGCCAGCGGUGGGAGUAGUAGGGGGCGGUGAGGCCUUCGCGGCAGCACAGCCUGCCACGGGAGGCAGGAGCAGGCUACACGACCGGCGCUGCAUUGGGCGGCUGGAGCAAGAAGACCAGAGGUUGAAGAAGCACGACGGCCAUUGGAUGGACAUCAUACGGUCACUGCAGCUAGAAUCAUUUAUAUUGACUAAGUUGACAAAGCCCUUGGUACGUCAACUUAGUAGGCCCACAGGUUAGCUUCCGAAACGGUGCGCCCCAGAUGUUAGGGGGAUGAAUCAUUUUUUGGGCGGGUGAAGCUAGAAUAUCCGAGAUUGAAGAGGAAGCACGGCAUCCGUUGGAUGGACAUCCAACGGCCACUGCUGCUAGAACCGUAUGUUGACUAUAAGUUGACAAAGCCUUGCAUACCCGUCAACUCUGUUUUUAGGGGACGCGUCAACUUAAUAAGGCCAGAAGUGUGUGGCAGAGAACUUAUAGCCCAUUUGAGAUUUUUAAGAAUGUGUAGCACAUUUUUGAAUUCUAAUGGAAUUUACUAUAGCCCAUUUACAGUUUGUUAAAAGUACAGCCCAUUUCAACCAACCGUUCAAAAUAGAAUUCAAUAAAAUUUCCCACAUUUUGAUGGGAUCCAAAUAUUUUUAUCCUAAAAUUUUAGUCAGAUUAAAUAAAAUUUCAACAUAAAUUUAUAUUGCGUAAAAAUCCAAUGAAACAUUCCGCUCGCAACAAUUAAUGAAAUUAAAAUUUUCAAUAUUCCAAAAAUAAUAUUUUAUAAAGUAAUCACUGUUUGGUGCAUUUUUUAUAGUUACUACCCAGUUUUUAUAAUUACAUCCCAUUUAUUAUUUCUUAAAGCCCAUUUUCUUGUUAAGCCUAAUGCAUCCCUCCUAGGAAAGAUUUGCAGCCCAGCAGGGCGAAGAAUAACAACUUGACCUUGCCUGGGUAUUCCUAAAAAAAGUAUAGCUGGGCUAGCCAUUUUCAGCUUGAAAAAAAUUAAUAUCUGGGCUGGAUAUCUGGCCUGGGCUAGACGGGCCACGCCCAGUUAAUACCUGCAGCGAUGUUUUCGUUGUUGUUUUGAGGAGAAAAAUUAAUAUCUGGGGUAAACAUCGAAAAACUCUGCAGUGCUCACACCUCAAAAACACAAAUACUGCUCGAGCUGCUUGGUCCCAGCUGUCGGCCGCUUCUUGUGCAAUUCUCUCAUUUAUUGACUACUCCCUCCUUUCCAGUUUAUAAUGCUCAAUUCAAAAAUCUCACCAAUCAAGGUAGAUGGCGAGUGGUGGAAUACUUUUUCUAGUUUUGCAAAAGCACAUAAUUAAUGCUCUUGUUAUCCUCAAAAAAUUAUGUUUAUCAAUGCAUUAAUUACAAUGCAUGCAUGCAUAAAGUACAUGCAUUGGUCAAUUUUCUCUUAAUACUUGCAUGCAAUGAUUUAAUGCACCUUGGAAUCUGAACAUGUGAUGGAAAACAACCAAAUUGAGCCUUAUAGAAUGGAAAAACUAAAAUUUUGAGAUAAUCCCUAUAAACCGGAAAGGAGGGAGUACAUAGGUAGACAAUGGUGUGGGACUGUGAUGUCAGGAAACCAGGAGGAAGCAAAAUAAAUUAUAGUUAUAUAUAUAUAAUAAGGAGGCAUUUGCGUACAUGAGGCUAUGGACCUGGUGGGUCCCCAUUGUCAUCCUAUCCAAGUAAAGUGAUCUCCUCGCCCGCGUGCGCUUUCCGCCCCAAAAAAGUCAGCGCCGGCCGCCCCGCUUCCCGGUGCAGGCGAUUGCUCCGCCUUCAAACGACACAAGUGCCGUCCGUCUGUCCAUCUGCUGCUCACAUUAAUGAUAUGCGGUUGCCGAGGCGGCUACUCCGGCAUCACACGUCCAUCCCUCCGCCCGCCCACCAUUGCUAUAUAAACUGCCGCGCCGGCCAUAGCCGCAGUCAUCCGCAUCCGUUGCCUUUCUCCUGUCCACACCACUACUACCCACGAUGGCUUCCUCGCGCUCUAGCGCUCUUCGGGAUGGGCGGACGAUGGACCACAAGGAGAUAGCAGCAUUGCUGCCGACCGGCUGGCCGGCAGGCAGCCGGAGGACGACGAUGUCCCAAUGGAGAACAUGGUAGUCGACGAUCCGGCGCCAACCCCCUCCUCCGUGCCAUCGUCGCCGGUGCAUUGCACCAUGACCAUCGGCGAGGCCCGUGCCCAAUAUAUGGACAGGGUGAGGCAGAUGCGUGAGAAGCAGUUCCGGGAGGCGCAGGCCGACGCCGCCUACAACCACCAUGUCCUCCAGGAGCACCUACAGGCGGAGGAGCAGAUCGCCGCGGAGCGGGCGGAGCAGGAGGCGCUGCUCGACUGGUACCGCUCCGCCUGCAAGGGCCGCCUCGAGCGCUGGCGGUACCGCAUGCGGGUGGCGGAGGCUGUGGCCGCCUACAAAAAGACUAGCAAAGAGGGCGAUGAAGUGGGCGAGGCACUGUUUGGCGAGACCGAGGAUGAGGCAGAGGACAACGCCGGCUCCGACGAGUCCCCGCUCUGCUGGCAUCGACGACGCCCUGCUCCGCCGACGCCUCGCGGAGCCAACAAUGAGGCAGAUGACACCGCCGGCUCCGCCGAGGCCCCGCGGUGCCAACAACGAGGUAGAGGACAUCGCCGGCUUAGCCGAGGCCCCACCAUGCCGGCGACAUGGGGGAGGAUUUCCACCGCUCCGCUGAGGCGCCGCCCGCCGGCAACAAGACAGAGGCAUCGCCGGCUCCGCCGAGGCCCCGCCCCGCUGCAAAUGAGGCCCCGCCACAUAGAAAACAAGGAAGAGUAGAACACGGUAGGUCGCCGCCGCUCGGGUCCAAGUAAGGCCACCGCUGCUACCCUCCGGUUGAAGCCAAGCUAGGCGGGUUGACCAUUGACAGUCGGUUAGCUUCUUGGCGGCGACGUGGAGUCGGAGAGCUGCGCUAGAGAAGAACACUGCUUCUACUUAACUGCUGGUGCAGUUGGCUGACUGACACAUGGGCCCAACAGGCCACAUGUUAGUUACGCAACUACACCUGCAGUUAAGUCACUGAAGCUUCUGUUUGGCUCAGCAAGACAUAGGUGGGUAGCUUCGGUUAAUUAAUUAUACCUCCAGCGCACCCCUUUUUAGUUUUUUUUCGAAAAGGAGGAUGACCCCCGGCCUCUGCAUCUAGGAGAUGCAUGCGGCCACAAACACCCCUUUUUAGUUGAAGAAUGUAUGAAAUGUAAUGAAAUCCGGCAUGUUUAUAUGUAAUCUGACCGUGUAUGAAUGAAUUUAAUUCGAUUAGUUCGAAUUCAUGUAUCACUGGCAUUGGAUGAACAUGCAAAACAAUACGUACUAGCAUUAUUCCCAGGGUGAUCACUACGUUUGCAGCAGUUUCACAUGUACUCCCUUCGGUCCUUUCUGGUCUGCAUACAAGUUUUGUCUGCAGUCAAUGUAUCUCUACUUUGACCAAUCUUAUACAAAAAUGUAUGCACUUUCACAAUGUGCGAAGUAAAAAGGAACAGAAGGAGUACAAAGAGUUUGAGCAGCUUUCUAGCGUUUCUGUACAUUGCAAUCAAACACACAUGCCAGGCAAUUCAUAGAGAACAUUCAAAACAAUCGAUGAUUAUGCAUCUCAGUGAUUCACAUGUCAGAGGCAAUAUUUACUUCACAACUAAAGAAUAAAGAAAAAAUUGAUCACCACUGCUGAUAGCAAAGGGCGUCCCAUUCAAAAAUAUCAAACACAUAUCUUGCUAAAAUCAAUGAGCAAAAUUUGACAAGGUUAUCCCAUUCCAAAAUAUCAAAUGCCUACGAUUGUGGAAUGGGCAGGGUUUGCCAUCAGUUGGGACAUUGACAUGGCAACUCGUGCUAAAUAAACUAGUUGUUCUUUUUGUGCAGUUCCACCAAAAUCAACAAAAUUCGCGCGUAGCUUGUAUGAUUUCGCCCUUAUAGGUUGCAACACCUUGAACUUAUGGGAACCUCUUUUCUUGUGGUGGAAAUGAAUGAUUCGAUGUAUUCAUGAACAUUUUGUGCAAUUCCCGUUGAAAUCAAGCUGAGCACCCCUGUUGGCACAAAUACGAAAAAGUGAUUAGCAUAAAGCAAACAGUACUAUGAAUUGACAGUUUCAACAGGCACAUACAUGGUCCAUGUAGAGCACACUUUUAGAAAAAUGGAACUCACCAGAAAGAAUCCUAGAAAAACAUUGUACUUGCGCAUCACAGCAAAAAAAUGGAGAUUUGUCAGUCCUUCUGAGCUGAAGUUAGUUUGGUCUUGUGGGGAGUAAUGUAACCAUCCUUCAACUGCUCCUUCUGAUGAGAAGAUAGACAAUGCUUCUUCAUCCUGGCAUAAUCGGAACUAGUCACUUCACGUACUCCAUAUUCUUCUUCAGAGGAAGAUGAUCCUGUUGUGCAAAGAAAAGAGGACUACUAAAUGCUAGCAUCCAUGUUUUGCUCGAAAAAAAGGAAAGGAAAUAUUUAAAACAGCACAGAUGAAGCACUUCCCAAGGACAAUACCACUUUUUCAUGACAAUAUCUAAACAGUAGCACAACACCAAUAGGGAUGACAAAGCUCAAUCAUAUGGAUGAAAUCAGUGGGCGAGUACCAACCUUUGUCAGGAGGCUGAUUGUGUAGAGCAUAUAGAUGAAGCACUUCUCAGGAACCAUUUUUGCUAUCUACGGGGGUGGCCAUGCUUACUAUAUACUCCUCAAUUAGUUUAAUGUUUCCAACAUCUUCUUGUGCAGUUCCACUAAAAUAUAUGGUAUGUUCAAAGAAGAUCCCUGUUUGCAUAAGUAGAGAUAAUUAUGUAUGGUAUCAAAUCAGUGGCAAAACAAGUGCUCGUUCCAGCCAUAACAAUAAAUUAGGAUGCAAAACUAUAUCAUUACUUGUGUCAUCACAGUUCCAGUGCUUCAUUACAGCACCGGGAGUUGAUUUUUGUUUUUCUUCCGCUUGUUCUUCCCCGUCAUCACUUGGUUCAAUAACAGACAAGCUUCGCCUUCAAUGUAAGAUUUGGCAUGUAAAUUAGGGAGCACAAGUAUAGUACUAAACUUAAUUUUCUGAUGAAAGUGGCAAAAUACACGCCAGCAGUUGUGAAGUAUCCUUAUCUUACCUCAAUGGGAUCUUACGGUGCACAUACAAAUUGGAAGUCUUGUCUCCAUUUGUGCAGUUCACUAAAAUCAAGCAACAUUAUCGUACAAGUAGCACAACAUAUGAAAGCACACUGCAGAAUCAUGUGAAAGAAGGCUAGUACUGACCUCUCAUGAUGCGGAAUUCAAACAACUCACAAGAAGAAGAUCUGAACCAAAUUCGCUUCAACGGAUAGGAAGUAAGAUCUCCUCUUGUGCAGUUCCACUAAGAUCAAGCAAUCAAGCAACAUUGUCGGUGUGACAUUUUGGUUGAACUGCACAAAACACUCUUAAAACAAAAGUGUUUUGUGCAGUGCAACAAAAGGUCACAAUGGCAACAAGGUGAAAUAGAUAACCCUUUUUACACAGAGGUGCAAAGGAAACAAUUAGUGGUCAAUAACGGUGGAUGACACAGAAGCCAACAAAAAGAAGCAUCGACCUUAUCUAAAUGGGAAAGAAAGCAAGACAGUAGCAUUUCUCAAACGGUGGCAUUGAUUAAUAUUAACAUAGAGAUUAUAUUAACAAUAAAAUCCGUUAAACAUGUAAUUUGCUUUUAACUGUGGCAUUGCAUCAAUUUUCCAGCGGCAUUAUUAGAGGGUGUUUGUUUACAGGGACAUUUUGGUGUAGGGACUAAAAAAACUCCGUGUCAGUCACAUCUAAACCAAACAGGAGGGACUUUUCGGGAGUAAAAGUGGGCAUUUGGGACUAAAGAAAGAAGACCCCGAGGGAGUCUUUUUGGGACUUUUUCCAACAGUUGCCCCUGCCACGCAUCGCACUUUGUUUCUAUUAGUUCAUUACUAGGGGUAACAUGGUCUUUUAUCAUGUCAUUUAAUAACCUCUAGUCCAUGUUUAGUCCCUAGAACCAAGCAAGUAGAGACUAGGGAGUUUUUAACCAAAGAGGGUCAUAGGUUAACAACAGCUAAUGAGUUGCACGGGACAAUGGACGCACCAGCACCAUGUGCAUCUACCAAUGUACUGUGGUCAUGCACAGUCUAUUGCAACAAAGAACAAACAACCAAGGAGCAUAUUUGUGUUGGUCCUAGUUUUGUUAUCUUUAGACACCUUUCCCUAUGUGAGCGCAGCAAAUCUAGUCCUGCUGAAACUCUAUAGCCUUGUCCCUUCCUUUCCUUUUUGAACUAGUACUUUCGCCCCUUCCUUUCCUCUUUGAACCACGUCCUAGAUUUAUGCGAUACAACUUUCCCCACUACUUUCCCCCAUUCCUUUCCUCUUUGAACCACGUCCUAGAUUCAUGCUAUACAACUUUCCCCCUUCAUUUCCUCUUUGAACCACGUCCUAGAUUCAUGCUAUAUACAACUUUUCCCACUACUUUCCCACACUCCUUUCCUCUUUGAACCACGUCCUAGAUUCAUGAUAUACAUGCAGCUAGAGCAAUGCAUGUGGAGUAAGUAAAAUAUACCUUUGUGACACUCCAAAAAAUUUCAUUUGGUUUUUCAACAAAAUUCCUUAUUUGAUUUGAAGGAGGCUUUUUAAAAUCUUUUAAAAAGACUCUCCCUCUCAAAUAUUUUCUAUUAUGAGAAAAUCUUUUUGGGGUUAUCCUCAACCUUGAUGGUUGGCUUUGAAGGUCCUUCAUUGAUGUUGACUCACCACAAAUUAUUUUUUAAAGGUUUUCUUUUAAAAAGAAAUCCUAUGAGUUUUGGUCUAUUCCUUUUCAUUCCAACCAUCCCCUUUAACCAUGUCUCAUAUUAAAUUUUUUCCCCAAAACACCUCCCUCCACUUUGGGGCAAGCCAAGUAACCAAUCCCAGCAAGUCCAGCUCAUUUUUGAUUUUUAUUCCAUUUAUUUUUCUCCAAAACCUAUUUCUGUUUUUAUUUUUGGACCUAGGUGGUUUACAAAGGAAGUACCAAAUCCCUUUUGAGUUUUGAUCUCAAACCAACUCCUCUGGCUAGUCCUUAACACCCACAACCUAGAUCCAUCAAGAUCCACUCUUCCACAAUUCAAAAUUUUCAAGUUUCACUCACUGCAAGUUUGGACCAGAUUCAUCAUUUCUGGUGAAAUUCAUAUUUCCUCUUCCCCAAAAAUUCUACCAAAAACCAGGCAACCCCCAGAUGCAUUGAGAGGCCACCUCACCAAAGAUCAGCCCCAGAUAAAUUGCCCACAUGCCAAAAUCAUUUCAUUGAACACCUUGCUUGCACUGUUACUGUGCAUGUUUAGAAAAUUCAGUGUUUCAGUCGACAGUCAGUGUCAUUUUCUUCAGAGUCUUGGCGUCGAUCUCACCAGUGCACACUCUGGUGCCUUGCGCACUGCUUUUCCUUCUUAUCCAGAGCGCCGCACGCUCUCUUGGACGUGCGUAGUUGUCGGUGGCGGCGUGCCUCGCCGACGCCGACAGCUUCUGCGGUGGCAGAGCCACCCGUGGCGACCAGUGGGAGCCAGCGCCAGCUUUCUGCGCCGUCCAGCACCGCCCAAAGCACCCGAGGCCUCCGCGUGGCCGUCUACUUGCUAGCGCACGCCGCAGCACCUUUGCCGUGGCUAGGCGAGCACAGGGCGCGCUCUCUGCCGCCGACGGGCCCGCGAGGUGCCGUUCCAUUGAAACCGCAGAACAAGCCUAAUUCAACCGAGUUUAAGGUUUAGAUGAAACCAGUGGAUCUCCACGUUGAUGCCCAGCCGCCUAAACCACCCGUCCGGCCACUGCACCACCAUAAUCGCCGCCGGAGUUAUCCCAUUCAUGGGAACCACCUCGGGCCGGCUAUAAAUAGCCAUCCCGAGCUCGCCUUCGACCAGCACUACUCCCUCCACCUCACCAAAGCCCUGCCAAGACACGAGGAGGACCCCGAGGAUGCCUUCUCCUCCGUCUCCGGCCGCCCCGUUCCGUCUCGGGCUCCAGCUCGAUCCACUCAGGUGAGGCCACCCCCGCCUGCCAUACCUCGUCAGUAGCCCUCUGGUGUACCCAGUGCUCUAACCCCAGCUUCAAUUCCACCUCCGUAGCUCUCCCCGACAAGGUCCAGCAACGCCCGAACCACCGUCCGCCGGAAUUGAGGCCGCCGUCGAUGUGGUGCUCGCCGACGACCAACUCCACCACCCACAGGUGCAGAAGGAAUCUAGGAACCCGUAGGUACCAACCACUCUUCCUAACUCGCCGUGGAUCUCCGCCGGCGACCACCGCAGCCUUCGGGCGCCGGCGCGCUCUGUUUUUCUCCCUCCAAAUUUCAAUCCUGACGAGUGGGACCCCCUCGUCAGUCUCUCUAUUUUAUUCGAACCGUUUUCUCUGGAAAGCACCUUCGGGCCAAAUACGCUUUCGAUCUAAAGCGUUUUUUUGGCUUUUUCUAUUCAGCCCCUGGAAAUUUUCUGUUUCAUUACAAACAAGUCCCUAGGCUAAAACCUUAAUAUCUUUUAAACAGAAAAUGAUUUUUGAGUGAUUUUUUUUCUGUCACCUUUAUUUUUCUGUCUAGUUUUUAUCAUAUUUAUUUGAAAAAUAUUUGGAGCACUUUUUGUGCACACACGAUAUUUACGUUAGAAUGUAUUUUUUCAUUAUACCGUAGAUACCGAAGGAGGUGACAAAACCGCGAACUUCACCGAGCUAGACUCCGACUACUCCGAACCAGGCAAGCAUGUUUGAAACUUUGAUAUGAUGAGUGUUUUGUAUGUUUGCUUUGAGUAGCUAGUUUAUGGCAUGUUCAUAUAUAUAAGCAGUAAGUGGUAUAUUACAUGCAAAGUUGAUGCAAGUGAGCUUCUAAACUCCAUAUACUUUAUGAUGUGAGUUUAUAUGAUCAUGUGGUGACAUGAGAGGUGGUAAGAUGGUAGUGUUGUAGCAUGCCAGUCUUAUGCCAAACCAUUUAACUCCAGUGUUAACGUGGAUCAAGUCACGUUAUCAUCCAUUCCUUCCUUUUGUGCUACGACAUGUUUUCCAUAAGGAAUAUGGCUUAGUAAGUUGCAAACCACUUUCCUCGUACACACCAGAUAGAGAGGCCAUGAUGAGGGUUCCAUGGCCCUAGAUUAAAGCCAGUCAUCCGGUCAGGGGGCAUGGGUGUUUCCGGUUGGGACCGAGAGGGGGGCACCCCUUAGAGCGCGCGUAUAUAAAUUUGAUCCCAUGCUAUUCGAGGUUGUAGCCUCCCCGUCUCAAAGUUUUUCUCGAACGUUGCCUAGGGUGAUUCCUGGCAUCGUGAGGUGGAAAUGGGUGUGUACUGGUUAGAUGUGUUUUUACUGAAAUACCGUAAACGGAACUAGUCCUUCGUGAGUACUGAAAUCUGUUGGCUGUGGUUAAAUAGUACAAACUCUGCAGAGUCAAAAUCGUUCAAGUAAUCAUAUCUUGAUCAACAACUCUGUUCAACCUAUCUCUGUCAGUAUCAGUCUUAGUGACAAAACUCUGGUGAGCAAACAUGAGUGUUUCGUCCGGUUAAUGGUUUAUUCCUGUGGUUGGACUAACCUGUUUAUUAUCAUGUGCUGAGCAUUUCUUGUGAGUGAUAUAUCUUCAUGAAUUUAUAUAAUACAAAUGAUGAAAUAUAAGCCCUUUCUGUGAUGUCGCUCAGACGUCCGACUAUGGCAUCUCUGUUAUUUAUUAUAAGCCCUUUUCGAGAUGUCGCUCAGACGUCCGACUGUGGCAUCGCUGUUAUUUACUUUAAUUAUAAGCCCUUUUUGUGAUGUCGCUCAGACGUCCGACUGUGGCAUCUCUGUUAUUUAUUAUAAGCCCUUUUCAAGAAGUCGCUCAGACGUCCAACUGUGGUAUCGCUGUUAUUUACUUUAAAUAUAAGCCCUUUCCGAGAUGUCGCAUAGACGUCCGACUGUGGCACGCACUGUCAUUUACUUUUCAAUAUAAGCCCUUUACGUGGUGUCGCCCAGACGCCCGACUACGGCAUGAUAAUUUAUUUAUUCCACCUUUCGAGGCGUCGCUUCAGACACCCAAUCGGUUUUUAUUUAUUUUUAUUGGGAUUUCGGGAGGACUACCACCUGACUUCCUUUUUAUUUUACAUGCCGUGCAAAUUUAUUAUUUGAAUGUGCAUUGCUAACUGCUCAUGGUGCAUCGUGUUGCAUUUGUUAUAUCUUAUGUCCAAACUGUCUUGCGAGUACAUUCAAAGUACUCACCUGGCUUGUUGAUUUGGCCAGAUGUUGACGAAGGCGAUCUCAUGGAUGAAGAGUACGAUAGCGAGUCCGACGCCUGUAAUAUAUCCCAGUCAGUCCCACGGGAUCCUGGAUUUGGUCACCUGUAAUAUAUCCUCUUCCGCUACCCGAAUAAAUUCAUCGAGCCUCACUCCGACGCUCGAUGAGCUGCAAGACUAAGAGUCUUGUUACCCACUCCACUGUGACAUAUCCACCACCACUUUUAUAUCGAGCCAGUAGUAUGCCACCAGACCCUUGUGUCAUAUCCGCCCUUAUGUAAAAUAUUGGCGUGCUUGUAAUAAAUUGUUUAGCAAUCUCAGCUCAACCCUGUAUAAUAUUUAAUACUACUGGAUUUCUGUAUCAAAGUUUUGUCUACCAGUAAGGAGGAUUUUC
Molecule: long non-coding RNA, 24558 nt
Filed under: Triticum aestivum (bread wheat)
Lineage: Eukaryota; Viridiplantae; Streptophyta; Magnoliopsida; Poales; Poaceae
Description: long non-coding RNA (TAES_LNC022182)
Source: RNAcentral